AGGAGGGCACAUGUGGUACAGU
Molecule: microRNA, 22 nt
Filed under: Ornithorhynchus anatinus (platypus)
Lineage: Eukaryota; Metazoa; Chordata; Mammalia; Monotremata; Ornithorhynchidae
Description: oan-miR-1421y-5p
Source: miRBase by way of RNAcentral